Long non-coding RNA from Scophthalmus maximus (turbot), 675 nucleotides. RefSeq lists it as uncharacterized. The transcript is spliced from 6 exons. The record is from RefSeq and is a predicted model, not a curated record. Lineage: Eukaryota; Metazoa; Chordata; Actinopteri; Pleuronectiformes; Scophthalmidae.
GUUUUCCAGGAAGUCAAAGCUUUCAGUCAGAAAAUGAGGCCUGUUUCUUCAGAUGUGUCCUGGAAAAAAUAAAGUCACAGUGUGUGCACCACAGCACCCCUUGCCAAAGUUAAGGACCGGCAGUCAGUGGAUUGCCGGACGAUGCCCACCAAGAAGGCCACUCGACCUGCAUUGAAAGAGAACCACAGGUCCACAUAUAAAACCAGGUCCGACCAGGAGAGAUCAUUUAUUCCAGGACGAGGAAGUGCAGGAGUGCGGGGGAGGAUUUCCAGAACAUCACAUCUUCCCUUGGCGGUGGAAUUAAAGAGGUGAAUAAUACAUGGCUGAGAGCAUCCGUCUGCCCGAAACUGCAUCUUCUCUUGGACACCAGGGGAUUUGAAGGCAAAGCUCUCACAUGGCCAGACGGGAUCCCCCACGUUAUUUCCUGCGACGGCUGCCGGACAAACCGAGUCUGGCCUGCCCAUACAGUCUCUGCAGCCAAGGUGACUCCAUCAUGGUGCAUUAAGGGAAAAUUAUUCAUCAAUCACACAACAAGCUUCACAAAAAUGAACUUCUGGCCAGCGUUUGAAAUAAGCUAAAAUGCUGGACUGCUUAUAAAGUGACCUACAAAUGAUCAUUGAUGCUGAAGAAACAAACUGUAUGGAGAUCAUCAGAGGUUACUUCGGACGCCACACU